Molecule: non-coding RNA, 336 nt
Organism: Dipodomys spectabilis (banner-tailed kangaroo rat)
Lineage: Eukaryota; Metazoa; Chordata; Mammalia; Rodentia; Heteromyidae
Source: the annotation of a RefSeq genome assembly
AUGAAGGCCCCUGCUCAGCUCCUGGGGCUCCUGAUGCUCGGGCUCCCAGGUGCUCGUUGUGAUGUCCAGUUGACCCAGUCACCAUCCCUGUCUACAUCUCUGGGAGAGAGAAGCACCAUCACUUGCAAAGCCAGUCAGAUCAUUAGCAAUUAUUUACAUUCUUACCAGCAGAGAGCAAGGAAAGCUCCAAAGCUCCUGAUCUAUUUUGCACCUACUUGGCAAUCUGGGGUCCCAUGGAGGUUCAGUGGAUGUGGAUCUGGCACAGAGUUCACUCUCAGCAUCAGCAGCCUGCAGCCUGAAGAUUUUGCCACUUACUACUGUCAGCAGGGUAAUUAG